GAAGCCCCAGCAAACUCACGGGGACGAGGGCAGGGCAGGGUGCAACGCACCGAGCUGCUUGCCCAGCCUCCUUCUCCUUGCUUGCAGGGUCAGGCUCACGUGCAACAUGAGCAUCCCGAGGUUUGUGCAACGAGGGGGUUUUGCUCCCCGGGGGUUGCCGAUGCAGAGCGAGGGAUGCUGCAGUGCCACGUUCUCCCCAUUGCCCCUACUGGUUUGGGGGCCGUGGGCUGCUGGGAGCACUGGGGGUUCACUGCCCCUUCCUGCAGCCCCCCACGCACAUCCUGGCUCCCUCGUUAGCCUGACCCCUGAUUACACUCCGCAGGCUCCGUAUCGCCGCCGUCGCCCUGGCAACGUGUCGUCUCCACGGCAACCGUGACAACCUUAUGUUCAUUAAUUUAAAAAGGUUCACGGUGUAACAAAUGAAAUAGUUAGGAGCUUGUCAGGGUGUUAAGGAGCAGGGGCUGACAACUCGCCCUCCUGUCAGCGCCCACCGGAGCUGCUGAGCCUCGUGGUCCGGGAGCAUCCCAGCAGCGCUGCAUCCCUGCGCUCUCGCUGGGGAUGCUGGGUUUGGUGCACAGCCAGAGGACACCGAGGUCACCCCUCCCUCCCUCCCUCCUUCCUUCCUUCCCUUCCUCCCUCCCUUCCCCUCCCUCCCUUCCUUCCUCUCCCUCCCUCCUUCCUUUCUCUUCUUCCUCCCUCCUUCCCUUCCUCCCUCCCUUCCUCUACCUCCCUUCCUUCCUCUCCUUCCUUCCUUUCUCCCUCUCCCUUCCUCCUUUUCUCUCCUUCCUCUCUCCCUCUCCCUCCCUCCUCCCUCCUUCCUUCUCUCCUUCCCUCCCUUCCCCUUCCUCCCUCCCUUCCCCUUCCUCCCUCCCUUCCCCUUCCUCCCUUCCUUCCUCUCCUUCCUUCCUUUCUCUCCCUCGCUCCUUCCUUUCUCUUCUUCCUCCCUCCCUCCCUUCCUUCCUCCCUUCCUCUCCUUUCCUCCUCUACUUCCUUCCUUUCUCUCCUUUCUUCCUUCCUUCCUUUCUCCCUCUCCCUUCUUCCCUUUCUCUCCUUCCUCUCUCUCUCCCUCCCUCCUUCCUUUUCUUCCCUCCUUCCCUCCCUUCCUUCUUCCUUCCCUCCAUCCCUCCCUUCCUUCCUCCCUCCCUUUCCCUCCCUCACUCCUUCCUUUCUCUUCUUUCUCCUUCCCUCCCUUCCUUCCUCCCUUCCUCUCCUUCCCUCUUCUCCUUCCUUCCUUUCUCUCCUUUAUUCCUCCCUUCCUCUCUCCCUCUCUUCCUACCUCCCUUCCUCUCCCUUCCUCCCUCUCCCUUCUUCCCUUUCUCUCCUUCCUCUCUCUCUCUCCCUCCCUCCUUCCUCCUUCCUUCCCUCCCUCCCUGCCUUCCUUCCUCCCUCCCUUCCCCUCCCUCCCUUCCUUCCUCUCCUUCCUUCCUUUCUCUCCCUCCCUCCUUCCUUUCUCUUCUUCCUCCCUCCCUCCCUCCCUUCCUCCCUUCCUCUCCUUUCCUCCUCUACUUCCUUCCUUUCUCUCCUUCCUUCCUUCCUUUCUCUCCUUCCUUCCUUUCUCCCUCUCCCUUCUUCCCUUUCUCUCCUUCCUCUCUUCCUCCCUCCCUCCUUCCUUCCCUCCUUCCCUCCCUUCCUUCCUUCCUUCCUUUCUUCCUCCCUUCCUCCCUCUCCCUUCCUCCUUUUCUCUCCUUCCUCUCUCUCUCUCCGUCCCUCCCUCCUCCUUCCUUCCCUCCUUCCCUCCCUUCCUCCCUCCUUCCUCUCCCUCCCUCCUUCCUUUCUCUUCUUCCUCCCUCCCUCCCUUCCUUCCUCCCUUUCUCUCCUUCCCUCUUCACCUUCCUUCCUUUUUCUCCUUUCUUCCUUCCUCCCUUCCUCCCUUCCUCCCUCUCCCUUCCUCCUUCCUUCCCUCCUUCC
RNAcentral lists this long non-coding RNA (1908 nucleotides) under Numida meleagris (helmeted guineafowl). RNAcentral's name for it is "lncRNA (ENSNMEG00000002887.1)". Lineage: Eukaryota; Metazoa; Chordata; Aves; Galliformes; Numididae. The record is from RNAcentral.